Molecule: ribosomal RNA, 301 nt
Filed under: uncultured bacterium
Lineage: Bacteria
Description: partial 16S ribosomal RNA
Rfam family: Bacterial small subunit ribosomal RNA
Source: RNAcentral
CAGUCGCCGCGGUAAUACGUAGGUGGCAAGCGUUGUCCGGAAUUACUGGGCGUAAAGGGCUCGCAGGCGGUUUCUUAAGUCUGAUGUGAAAGCCCCCGGCUCAACCGGGGAGGGUCAUUGGAAACUGGGAAACUUGAGUGCAGAAGAGGAGAGUGGAAUUCCACGUGUAGCGGUGAAAUGCGUAGAGAUGUGGAGGAACACCAGUGGCGAAGGCGACUCUCUGGUCUGUAACUGACGCUGAGGAGCGAAAGCGUGGGGAGCGAACAGGAUUAGAUACCCCCGUAGUCCCUGUCUCUUAUAC